This 23-nucleotide non-coding RNA is filed under the name Gallus gallus (chicken). The record is from miRBase by way of RNAcentral. Lineage: Eukaryota; Metazoa; Chordata; Aves; Galliformes; Phasianidae.
UACAGAACUUCGGCAUGAUUGCU